GAACGCUGGCGGCAUGCCUAAUACAUGCAAGUCGAACGAGAGGAAGGAAGCUUGUUUUCUGAAUCUAGUGGCGACGGGUGAGUAACACGUAGGUAACCUGCCCAUGUGCCCGGGAUAACUUCUGGAAACGGAUGCUAAACCGGAUAGGUAGCAGACAAGCAUUUGACUGCUAUUAAAGUGGCUAAGGCCAUGAACAUGGAUGGACCUGCGGUGCAUUAGCUAGUUUGGUGAGGUAACGGCCCACCAAGGCGACGAUGCAUAGCCGGCCUGAGAGGGCGGACGGCCACAUUGGGACUGAGACACGGCCCAAACUCCUACGGGAGGCAGCAGUAGGGAAUUUUCGUCAAUGGGGGGAACCCUGAACGAGCAAUGCCGCGUGAGUGAGGAAGGUCUUCGGAUCGUAAAGCUCUGUUGUAAGAGAAAAACGACAUUCAUAGGGAAUGAUGAGUGAGUGAUGGUAUCUUACCAGAAAGUCACGGCUAACUACGUG
RNAcentral lists this ribosomal RNA (490 nucleotides) under uncultured bacterium. RNAcentral's name for it is "bacterial SSU rRNA". It matches the Rfam family "Bacterial small subunit ribosomal RNA", at positions 31 to 507 of the family's 1533-position model. The record is from RNAcentral.